GUGGGGAAUAUUGGACAAUGGGGGCAACCCUGAUCCAGCCAUGCCGCGUGAGUGAUGAAGGCCUUCGGGUUGUAAAGCUCUUUUGGCGGGGACGAUGAUGACGGUACCCGCAGAAUAAGCCCCGGCUAACUUCGUGCCAGCAGCCGCGGUAAGACGAAGGGGGCUAGCGUUGUUCGGAAUUACUGGGCGUAAAGCGCGUGUAGGCGGUUGUUCAAGUCGGGUGUGAAAGCCUUGAGCUCAACUCAAGAAAUGCACUCGGUACUGGAUGACUAGAGGACCGGAGAGGAUAGUGGAAUUCCCAGUGUAGUGGUGAAAUACGUAGAGAUUGGGAAGAACACCAGUGGCGAAGGCGGCUAUCUGGACGGUUUCUGACGCUAAGACGCGAAAGCGUGGGGAGCAAACAGGAUUAGAAACCCUUGUAGUCC
This 425-nucleotide ribosomal RNA is filed under the name uncultured bacterium. RNAcentral's name for it is "bacterial SSU rRNA". It matches the Rfam family "Bacterial small subunit ribosomal RNA", at positions 354 to 796 of the family's 1533-position model. The record is from RNAcentral.